Molecule: transfer RNA, 115 nt
Filed under: Caudoviricetes sp.
Lineage: Duplodnaviria; Heunggongvirae; Uroviricota; Caudoviricetes
Description: tRNA-Leu
Rfam family: tRNA
About the family: Transfer RNA (tRNA) molecules are approximately 80 nucleotides in length.
Source: RNAcentral
GCAGCAGUGGUCAAGUGGUAAGACAGCGGCUAUAAAGAGUGUGUGUUGUAUGGCACACGAACAGCAAUUUCAAAAAGGCAAGCCGCCAUCGUAGGUUCGAUUCCUGCCUGCUGCA